AGCAAAGGAAGAAUGUGAAUAUAACUCUUUAUUUUCUUUAUUAUAUAUUUGUAUUUGUAUAUAUUUAUAUUUGUGUGAUAGUACUAUUCAAAAAGAAAUGAUUUUUUGUCUGAUCUCUGCCUUCCAUUUAGCUAUAUAAAUCCAUUCCUCCGCUAACAGAUCCAUGAGAUGCUUGGAUGAGUUUGCUAUAGCUAGUGAUAUGCUAGAAGCUCUCUCUUCAGUCCUCUCCUCUCCUUCCACCGUUGACCCUUUCUGUGAGUGACCCUCUUUUGAACAGUCGCUUUCUUCAACCUUCUCUCUCUUUCUCCUAAACCUUCAAAUAUGGUGGUCCAUCUCAGCAUCUAUCAGUGUAAUCUUUGUGAGUUGCUGUAUGGGAGGGGAGGGAGGUUUCAGAGGGUUACAUGGCAUAGAUCUGCAUAAGAAUAUUACACAUUAGCUAGGCAUUUACAUACAAAUCUUUGUCAAUUUUGUAUUUGAGAUCUUCAUUAUUAUUAUUAUUAUUAUUAUUAUUAUUAUUAUUAUUAUUUUUGUGUUGCAGUAGUAGUGAUUGAUGAGCACUUAAGAGAGCUUUCUUCAGUCCACUCAUGGGUGGCAAUAGGAUUUAAUUAGCUGCCGACUCAUUCAUCCAAAUACUGAGUUAAGGGCUAGCUGACGAGGUUACCCAGUAAAUGAGUGAAUGAUGCGGGAGACAAAUUGAAUCUUAAGCUUCCUGUACUUGGACUGAAGGGAGCUCCCUUUACUGUUAUUUAACCCAAUAAUAUAUAUAUUUUAUAUAUCUUUCUUAGAUUCUUAACUUCUCUAUAUAGUUAUGCUCACAAUUAUAUAUUCUUAUGGCUGCCAAUGCUGUUGGUAUAAAGCACUUUGUUGCUCAUGAGGUAAUGCUAGAGAACCCUCAACUUGUCCGUUUUCUUUGAGUGAUCUUUAUCCUGUUUGUCUUGAACUUUUCUUUAAGCUUUAUUUUCUUGCUCUGUGACCAAGGAGAGCUGUAUAUCUGGCUUAUCAUUUCCAGGGUAUUCUUGAUGCCUUUUUCUUACUGUUUUUCCCUUCUCUGGUAUCUCUUGUUGCCUUAAAACAGUCAUUUUGCAGAGUGGCAACAAAUAGUGAUCUAACAAGGGUUUGGUUUUAGGGUUUGUAUCAAGCUGUAGGCGGUUCUUGUAAAAGCUACCCUUAAAAGGCAACCGCAUGAGGGAGAUGAGCUUACAAGCUCAUCACGCUACUCGACACUAGUUUCUUGGGUCUUGCUUUCUAACAGGCAGCAACAAGUUCCUAGACGGGCUAGAGACAUGUCUCCCAGAGGUUCAAUUACCGAAAUAUCCUCAAACUGAGUUUCGAGCAGUGGUUCAAGCAGGAUAUUUUAUUUAAUUUGUAGCAAUUAGAAGAACUUUCUCUUCAUUCCUAGUUUCCUUCUGUUCUGCUUUGUUUACUGGUUUUAACUCAUUUAAUUAUGAGUAGAGACUACAAAUUUUUUUUUUUUUUUUGGGUUAAGGAAAGCUUCUCUUGAACUUCUUCUUCACUUAAGCACUGUAUUUAUACAUUCUACAGAUUGGAACUGUAUAUCAUAUAUGCUGUCAUUUUCUUUAUGUGAACUCCAUAGAUGGGGUUUGUUUUCUGUUCUUUUAGACAAAA
Molecule: long non-coding RNA, 1626 nt
Organism: Hevea brasiliensis (rubber tree)
Lineage: Eukaryota; Viridiplantae; Streptophyta; Magnoliopsida; Malpighiales; Euphorbiaceae
Exons: 2
Source: RefSeq, a predicted model, not a curated record